AUUUAGCUGGUGAGUUCAAAAUAGGACGAAACACGCGUGCUUAAA
This 45-nucleotide non-coding RNA is filed under the name Schistosoma mattheei. Lineage: Eukaryota; Metazoa; Platyhelminthes; Trematoda; Strigeidida; Schistosomatidae. The record is from RNAcentral.